This 688-nucleotide long non-coding RNA is filed under the name Manihot esculenta (cassava). Its description in RNAcentral is "long non-coding RNA (MESC_LNC008834)". The record is from RNAcentral. Lineage: Eukaryota; Viridiplantae; Streptophyta; Magnoliopsida; Malpighiales; Euphorbiaceae.
UUUACUUGUAUGGAUCAUUUUUCCAGUUGGACAAAUUUUCGUUAUUUUGACAAGUAGUCAUGAUGAGCUAGUUAAUUCCAGCCUUGAGUGCUGUCAAGUUGGAGAGCUAGUUAAUUCCAGCCUUGAGUGCUGUCAAGUUGGAGGUAUGUGAAUAAUGUGAGGAUUGAUUAGGGAAUCUGGGCUUUCCUUGUAAUAGGCUUGGGUUUUAGAUGAGGUAUCUAAGGUUCUACAGUGAUUUGGAGUGGUAGGGCUUGCAAAAAUAAAGUUGUGCAAAAAUCUGAUGAAUUGAAGAAGGCCAUGGUGCAUGUUUUAUAUUCAGCAACUAAAUAUUGAGAAUGUAGGGCCAGUUUUGAGAGGUUUGAUCAGUGGAGAAAGAGGGAUAAAAAUGGAUACUUUUAGAUGUUGAUUUAGAGUGAUUAACGAAGGAAAAUUGGAGGUUGCCAGUGUGUUGUUAGUUUUUUGUAUCUGGGUAUCAGCUAAAUCUAGAGAAAGAGAAAGAGAAAGAGAAAGAGAGAGAAAGAAAUGUUAAACAAAAUAAGAAAAAAGAUGAACGGGAUCAUACGUGGCACUCAUUCCUUCAAACACAUACAAAAACUGCUUUGGUCUACUUCCCCACAAAGAUAUCAUACUUGGCAGUUGGCAUGCAUGCCUUUGAACGCAAACAAGAGCUGCCUCAGCCUACUUUCCC